RNAcentral lists this ribosomal RNA (200 nucleotides) under uncultured bacterium. Its description in RNAcentral is "partial 16S ribosomal RNA". It matches the Rfam family "Bacterial small subunit ribosomal RNA", at positions 1301 to 1500 of the family's 1533-position model. The record is from RNAcentral.
CAGUCUGCAACUCGACUGCAUGAAGCCGGAAUCGCUAGUAAUCGCGGAUCAGAAUGCCGCGGUGAUACGUUCCCGGGUCUUGUACACACCGCCCGUCACACCAUGGGAGUCGGAAAUGCCCGAAGCCGGUGGCCUAACCGAUAAGGGAGGAGCCGUCGAAGGCAGGUCUGAUGACUGGGGUGAAGUCGUAACAAGGUAAC